UACGUAGGGGGCGAGCGUUGUCCGGAUUCAUUGGGCGUAAAGAGCUCGUAGGCGGCUUGGCAAGUCGGGUGUGAAAACUUCAGGCUCAACCUGGAGAUGCCACUCGAUACUGCUAUGGCUAGAGUCCGGUAGGGGACCACGGAAUUCCUGGUGUAGCGGUGAAAUGCGCAGAUAUCAGGAGGAACACCGGUGGCGAAGGCGGUGGUCUGGGCCGGCACUGACGCUGAGGAGCGAAAGCGUGGGGAGCGAACAGG
RNAcentral lists this ribosomal RNA (254 nucleotides) under uncultured bacterium. Its description in RNAcentral is "partial 16S ribosomal RNA". It matches the Rfam family "Bacterial small subunit ribosomal RNA", at positions 524 to 776 of the family's 1533-position model. The record is from RNAcentral.